CGCUAUCAUCAUUAACUUUAUUUAUUACCGUCAUUCAUUUUCGAAUGUCUGUUUAUCCCGAAUUGAGCCGAGUGCGAUGCAUUCGGUUUUUUU
Molecule: non-coding RNA, 93 nt
Filed under: Lelliottia amnigena
Lineage: Bacteria; Pseudomonadati; Pseudomonadota; Gammaproteobacteria; Enterobacterales; Enterobacteriaceae
Description: MicF RNA
Rfam family: MicF RNA
About the family: The micF gene is a stress response gene found in Escherichia coli and related bacteria that post-transcriptionally controls expression of the outer membrane porin gene ompF. The micF gene encodes a non-translated 93 nt antisense RNA that binds its target ompF mRNA and regulates ompF expression by inhibiting translation and inducing degradation of the message.
Source: RNAcentral